RNAcentral lists this ribosomal RNA (254 nucleotides) under uncultured bacterium. RNAcentral describes it as "partial 16S ribosomal RNA". It matches the Rfam family "Bacterial small subunit ribosomal RNA", at positions 524 to 776 of the family's 1533-position model. The record is from RNAcentral.
UACGGGGGGAGCAAGCGUUGUUCGGAUUUACUGGGCGUAAAGGGCGCGUAGGCGGCCAGCACAAGUCAGUUGUGAAAUCUCCGGGCUUAACCCGGAAAGGUCAACUGAUACUGUGCGGCUAGAGUGCAGAAGGGGCAACUGGAAUUCUUGGUGUAGCGGUGAAAUGCGUAGAUAUCAAGAGGAACACCUGCGGCGAAGGCGGGUUGCUGGGCUGACACUGACGCUGAAGUGCGAAAGCCAGGGGAGCGAACGGG